Molecule: ribosomal RNA, 463 nt
Filed under: uncultured bacterium
Lineage: Bacteria
Description: partial 16S ribosomal RNA
Rfam family: Bacterial small subunit ribosomal RNA
Source: RNAcentral
GACGAACGCUGGCGGCGUGCUUAACACAUGCAAGUCGAACGGUGAACCUCUUCUGAGGGGAUCAGUGGCGAACGGGUGAGUAACACGUGGGCAACCUACCCCCGGCUCUGGGAUAACUCCAAGAAGUUGGGGCUAAUACCGGAUGUUCACCGCUUCCCGCAUGGGUGGUGGUGGAAAGGGUUUCCGGCUGGGGAUGGGCCCGCGGCCUAUCAGCUUGGUGGUUGGGUAGUAGCCUACCAAGGCGACAGCCGGGAGCCGGCCUUGGGAGGUGACCGGCCACCAUGGGCCUGAGGGAGGGAGCAGAGUGGUACUGGGGGCAGUAGUGGGGAAUCUUGUGCAAUGGGGGGAAGUGCGACGAAGAGACGUUGCGUUGGGGAUCAGGGUCUUCGCGUUGUAAAACCCUUUCAGCAGGGACGCCGCGGAAGUGACGGUACCUGAAGAAGAAGCACCGGCCAACUACGUG